This 253-nucleotide ribosomal RNA is filed under the name uncultured bacterium. Its description in RNAcentral is "partial 16S ribosomal RNA". It matches the Rfam family "Bacterial small subunit ribosomal RNA", at positions 524 to 776 of the family's 1533-position model. The record is from RNAcentral.
UACAGAGGUCCCGAGCGUUGUUCGGAUUUAUUGGGCGUAAAGGGCUCGUAGGCGGUCUGUCACGUCGGGAGUGAAAACUCAGGGCUUAACCCUGAGCCUGCUUCCGAUACGGGCAGACUAGAGGUAUGCAGGGGAGAACGGAAUUCCUGGUGUAGCGGUGAAAUGCGCAGAUAUCAGGAGGAACACCGGUGGCGAAGGCGGUUCUCUGGGCAUUACCUGACGCUGAGGAGCGAAAGUGUGGGGAGCGAACAGG